This 801-nucleotide ribosomal RNA is filed under the name uncultured archaeon. Its description in RNAcentral is "bacterial SSU rRNA". It matches the Rfam family "Archaeal small subunit ribosomal RNA", at positions 33 to 845 of the family's 1478-position model. The record is from RNAcentral.
UUGGGAUCGCUAGCCAUGCGAGUCGAGAGGGUUCGGCCCUCGGCUGACGGCUCAGUAACACGUGGAUAAUCUGCCCUUAGGUGGAGGAUAAUCUCGGGAAACUGAGGAUAAUACUCCAUAGAUCUAGGAUGCUGGAAUGCAUCUAGAUUGAAAGCUCCGGCGCCUAAGGAUGAGUCUGCGGACUAUCAGGUUGUAGUCAGGGUAAAGACCUGACUAGCCUACGACGGAUACGGGUUGUGAGAGCAAUAACCCGGAGACGAUAUCUGAGACACGAUAUCGGGCCCUACGGGGCGCAGCAGGCGCGAAAACUUCACACUGUGCGAAAGCGCGAUGAGGGAAUCCCAAGUGUUUGCUCGUAAGAGUAAACUGUUUCUUUGUUUAAAACGCAGAGAGAGUAAGGGCUGGGUAAGACGGGUGCCAGCCGCCGCGGUAAUACCUGCAGCUCUAGUGGUGAUCAUUAUUAUUGGGCCUAAAACGUCCGUAGCCGGUUUAGUAAAUGCCUGGGUAAAUCGUGUAGCUUAACUAUACGACUUCCGGGUAGACUGCUAAACUUGAGACCGGGAGAGGCUAGAGGUACUCCUGGGGUAGAGGUGAAAUUCUGUAAUCCUAGGGGGACCACCAGUGGCGAAGGCGUCUAGCUAGAACGGGUCUGACGGUGAGGGACGAAGCCCUGGGGCGCAAACCGGAUUAGAUACCCGGGUAGUCCAGGGUGUAACGCUGCUUGCUUGAUGUUAGUUGGGCUCCGAGCCCANCUAGUGUCGGAAAAANUUGUUAACAAGCUGCCUGGGAAGUACGGUCGCA